UGUCCGUCUAGGCUGCAAAGUGAAUAGACAACCGGGUGAAACUCCCGGACGGUACCGCCGCUGUGUAUACAUUGAAACAGCUCGUUGACGAAAGUCAGUCACUGGAUUUCCGGGAAGGCAGAACUGUUUUAAGGGAAUUUCCCAGAUGUAUGAGUCAGAAGACCUGCUCAAUU
RNAcentral lists this non-coding RNA (173 nucleotides) under Candidatus Heritagella gallinarum. The record is from RNAcentral. Lineage: Bacteria; Bacillati; Bacillota; Clostridia.